UACGGGAGGCAGCAGUGGGGAAUAUUGCACAAUGGGCGAAAGCCUGAUGCAGCUAUGCCGCGUGUAUGAAGAAGGCCUUAGGGUUGUAAAGUACUUUCAUCGGGGAGGAAAAAACAAAACUAAUAAUUUUAUUUCUUGACGUUACCCGAAAAAGAAGCACCGGCUAACUCCGUGCCAGCAGCCGCGGUAAUACGGAGGGUGCUAGCGUUAAUCGGAAUUACUGGGCGUAAAGGGCACGCAGGCGGUUAAUUAAGUUGGAUGUGAAAUCCCGGGCUUAACCUGGGAAUGGCAUUCAAGACUGGUUAGCUAGAGUCUUGUAGAGGGGGUAGAAUUCCAUGUGUAGCGGUGAAAUGCGUAGAGAUGUGGAGGAUACCGGUGGCGAAGGCGGCCCCUGGACAAGACUGACGCUCAUGUGCGAAAGCGUGGGGAGCAAACAGGGAUUAGACUACC
This 450-nucleotide ribosomal RNA is filed under the name uncultured bacterium. RNAcentral describes it as "bacterial SSU rRNA". It matches the Rfam family "Bacterial small subunit ribosomal RNA", at positions 340 to 787 of the family's 1533-position model. The record is from RNAcentral.